This 204-nucleotide ribosomal RNA is filed under the name Triticum aestivum (bread wheat). RNAcentral's name for it is "partial small subunit ribosomal RNA". The record is from RNAcentral. Lineage: Eukaryota; Viridiplantae; Streptophyta; Magnoliopsida; Poales; Poaceae.
AUGUUCCACUGGCAGGCCAGUAUCAUGGGACCCUUGGACAGCCCGUUUACUGGUGGCCUAUUUUUGGUGAACAUCCAUUUCCCACUGGAUUAUCCCUUCAAGCCCCCGAAGGUCUCUUUCCGCACCAAGGUGUUCCACUUCCACUUCCACCCAAACAUUAACAGCAAUGGCAACAUUUGCCUUGACAUUCUCAAGGAACAGUAG